This 301-nucleotide ribosomal RNA is filed under the name uncultured bacterium. RNAcentral's name for it is "partial 16S ribosomal RNA". It matches the Rfam family "Bacterial small subunit ribosomal RNA", at positions 509 to 808 of the family's 1533-position model. The record is from RNAcentral.
CAGCCGCCACGGUAAUACGUAGGGUGCGAGCGUUAAUCGGAAUUACUGGGCGUAAAGCGUGCGCAGGCGGUUUUGUAAGACAGGCGUGAAAUCCCCGGGCUCAACCUGGAAUGGCGCUUGUGACUGCAAAGCUAGAGUGCGGCAGAGGGGGAUGGAAUUCCGCGUGUAGCAGUGAAAUGCGUAGAUAUGCGGAGGAACACCGAUGGCGAAGGCAAUCCCCUGGGCCUGCACUGACGCUCAUGCACGAAAGCGUGGGGAGCAAACAGGAUUAGAUACCCAAGUAGUCCCUGUCUCUUAUACA